Molecule: long non-coding RNA, 1252 nt
Organism: Daphnia magna
Lineage: Eukaryota; Metazoa; Arthropoda; Branchiopoda; Diplostraca; Daphniidae
Exons: 6
Source: RefSeq, a predicted model, not a curated record
CACGAUUCCGUAGCUGAACGAAAGAGGGACUGCAAUAGAAUUCGUCUGCUAGGCAGAGAAAAAACAUGGAACGUCUACUGCUUGACUUUUUAUUAGCAGAACAUGCAAAACAUGCUUGUCUGUCCAUCUCAGUGAUGAGAUGGCAAAUUUGUUGAGUAAAUCUGACUAAGGAAGCAAAUCUGAGAAGUGUUCCUAAAAGUAACUUGUCCCAGUGUGAUUUUCAUAGCAAUCCAUCAUUUUUUCCAAAGAUUUUUUUAUGAAGCUACAACAUAGAAGGUCGUGACCCAGUAAGCAUCAUACAGGGAGCUCCUAUGUAUGAAAGGAACUUUCUUCAGUAUUGAUACUGGGAUAAAUGACUUUGUUCUCAUCAACUUUCAGUUUAAAGAAACCAUUAACUCCUCAAAGACCACAAGUACACCUGUUACCACCACCCGGUUCCAAAUCGAUGAUUGCUUGGAUUCUAGAAAAAAACAAUGCUCGGUAAAGUAAAUUUUACAGUUGCCAACCACAAUAGUUCCGCACUGUAAUAAAAUCUCGGUCAGUGACUCGGUGUCGCCAACGUGAUACAAAGUUAUUCAACUCUUUACAUCAAACCUGUUGAGAAGGAUGCCCCAGGCUGGACACUAUUACUCCAAUUGAAAAUGAAUGGACACAGGUAACAAGUUUAGAGAGACUUUUAUCAGAUCACCUUGCAACCUCUUACUUUCAUUUGAAAGUAAUUCAAUUCAUUUAUAGCACUCAUGCAAGAUGCAACCACCAUUUAGACAUCUUAAAAACGUAUUUUAGGAUAUGCAAACUAUGGCACUUAAUUUUUAUAUAAUACUUCGCAAGUUUGUCGCAUGUGAAAAAGAAUAAAAAUGGAAUGUGAUGCCUAGGUAGCAUAAUGAGGUCAGAAGAUUGCCCAACAUCUAUGGAAAAAUGACUUGAUUGAUGAACCAGCUAUAUUUAGCAGGUUGGCUUUAUUGGAGAACUGUUAAACAUUUGAUAUUCAUAAUGUUCGCAAGGCUUUUAAGAAAAUAGUUUUCAUUGCACUGGCGACAAUUCGGAAUGGCGAGGUGCGAAUGAAUCGGAUUAAAAGUCAGCGUGGAAAUGCAAUAGUUCCGCAGCUGGCAAGAAAUGAGAGGACGAUUGGUGAUGAGACAAUUUAUUCUAAUCGCUGUAACUCAUGGACACGUCGACAUUCGUGGUAAUCAAACUUAGAACGUCUGCAAUGCGAAAUUUUUCACCAAUAUAAAGGAAAGCUGCAAACAUA